CCAUCCUCACCACACCACCUUUCGAUUUCAAACAAACCAUUCUACAUACAUUCAAGUGUGAAGGAUCGCGUAUAAGGAAGAUCGGUGCACUCGGGAACACAAGGACCUCACUACGUUGCUAUUAACCCCUCGUUUUUCGCCUAGUUUCUUCCCUAGCCUCGAGCUAGUAGUAAGUGACUCUAAACACCUUCUUGAUCUUGUCUAACGUGGUUAAUAAGAGAUUUGUUGGUUGAAAAUCAUGAACAUGUCACGACGUUAAUUAAGCAAAUACGGUGAAGU
This 279-nucleotide long non-coding RNA is filed under the name Helianthus annuus (common sunflower). Its description in RNAcentral is "sRNA HanXRQr2_Chr17g0794171". Lineage: Eukaryota; Viridiplantae; Streptophyta; Magnoliopsida; Asterales; Asteraceae. The record is from RNAcentral.